CUGCACACAGUGUAUAACUAUAAUUUUAAAGUUAUUUUGAACUAAAAGCAUGUCAUGUUAUCACGUAAUAUGGGGUAAUAUGUCAGGAUAUCGUUCCUGCUGUCCUGCACCUCGCUGCUCUGCAUAUCAAUGUUCAAUUUCCCUUUCUUGUCCCCCAGACUCAGUUCACUGUGUUUCUCCUGCAGGAGGUUCUCAGGCAGGGAGAGGCCAGGAUGGGGUUGGAGCUUGCAGACCAGGGAGAGAGUUUCAAGUUCAAGUGCAAGAUUACAUGUUCCUGACCAAAUGGAAGAGCCGAGAAAAAAAAAGUGAGUGCAGGUUUCCCUCCCCCUUCCCUCUUCUCUACACUUAUCCGUAAAGAAAGGAAGGAAGCGGAAGAGAGUGGUGUCUGUGAGGAGGAAUGAUGAAAAGGCAGAGAGAGAGAGAGAGAGAGAGAGAAGAAAGGAGGGGGUAAAAGAAGAGAGCAGGACUGAGGAGAGUGGACUGGCAGAAACGUGAAAUACGAGAGGGAGAAGAGUAAAGUAGGAGAGGAACCCGUAAGAGGAGAAACGAGGGAUGGCUGACCUGGAAGUGGGCAAAAUCGGGGGAAAGGAAGCCACCGUUCUUUUCCAACACUUGCUGCUGUGCUCCGUCUGCCCUCUUAGACAAUGUACAAGGUCACAGCCGGAAGGUCAGAUGUCAAAGCCAGGGAAAUGUGACACGUCCCUUCCCCCCAACUCUUGACCGACGACCUCCUGUGUUGUGUCUGCAGAGGGAUUUGAGAAUAAUUUGACGGACAGCCUGUUCAAAGCCCUCCCUGCCUACCCUAUCAUUCUGGUUGCUGAGAGUCAGGUUGCCAUGACACCAGACUGUUUUGUCUGCCCUUUGACCCCUUUAAGAGGUGCUUUGGUCAAUCAGGCAUUACCCAUGAGGGGCCAACCUAGGGGGGAAAGAUGGAGCGACAUUUCCUCUCUAAAAAUGAGAAGCUGGGAUGCAUCACCUGAGAUCAGCUCUGGUCCUCCUCUGGGACUUCAGGUGUUCACUCCUCAUACGACAUACAACUCAAAGGAGACCAGCUGGUCAGUGAUCAGUCCCACCAACAUGCCUGGCAUACACACUAACCCCUCUGACGUGAUUGACAACUCUGCCCUAGCAACCGCUUGGCACGUUGCCGGGCUGCCCAGGGUUGCCAGGGAAUGUGUUCCCAUGGCAACACGUUUAACCACUUUAUUUGCCACCUUGAAAUGUAGCGAAGGUUUUGCAAAGAGGCAGAAAGGGAUUACUGCUGAAAUUUGCCCAGGAAAAAAAUGUGUGGAAAGGUGAUAUGAUUUUUGAGAAUUGUAUUUAAUUUUAUAUUUAUUCUUAAAGUUUUUGAGGAGCUGUGCUGCUAGUGCCAAAUGCAGGAUUUUUUUUUUGUUGUUUUUGUAAGACUAAGUAGAUUUAACUAAAUCUAAUUUUGCCUUUAUGGUGGAGAAAGAACCCAUAGCUGGCUUACAUUAGUCAAACAGUGCAUGAAGGAGUAUGAAAACAUCGGUUUAAAACAACAGAGAUCGAUAUUAAACUCCCAGCUUUAACAUCCCUGUUCAUAUCAUGGUUUAUCAUUUAGUUGAUCAAGUUCAAGGGUGCACACAUGUGUUCACAUAUAUGCAUAUCAACCCACUCCUUGAGUCACACAGUUAGACUUCAGAGAACACAAAUGUGUUCAGGUUUACUGUAUCCAGUUUUAUAUUGAAAUUGUCCAUAAGGGUUUUGGAAAGGGUGAGUGAGAGUGUAGAGAAGGAAGGAAGAGAAGGAUGGAAAUCAGAAAUCAGAAGAGAUAUGAUUUUUAAAAAUCCAGACUGGAAGAGGGGGUGUUAUUAAAGCAGGAACGUAUCUUGAAAGGAUGACGCUGUGACAUCAGUGCUGUAUUUCUGCAUGAUUUGAUUUUAAAAGAGAACGAGAGUGCAGAGGUCAACAGAGGAAGGGAAAUAAAGUGAUUGGAUAAUUGAAGAAAGGCAGGGUUUUAGAAUAGUAGCGUGACAGAAAGAGGGACAAUGGGCUAGGGACGGAAAUAAGGAGGAAACUUGAUGACAUUCAUGGUGGUGUGAAAGGAAAGUAAAAAGGGCAAAAGUGUGGAGACGAAAAGGACAGAUGACCAAAUAAUCUACCUGGCAACAUGCUAAAGGAGGCCCUAGUAUUGCCAUGGUAACAUGCCACAGGAUUGUCACAGGUUUUUGACGUGUCGCUCAUCUUUUUCCAUUCUGGGCAAAAAGACAGAAUUAUAGAGGUACAUGUAGGGGUUGUCUGACAGGUUGUGCGAGUUUUUGUUUUAGUGGAGCUUGUUUAGUUUGACCUUCUCUCUGUAAAACACACAGAAAAAAAGUUAUUUUGAAGAAUGUUGGUAAUCAAACUGAGUUUUAUUUUGGCUUCCAUUAUGUUUCAUGGAAGAAAGAAAGUCAUAGAGGUUUGGAACGACAUAAGGGUUAUGACAGAAAUUAUGAGAGAAUUUUUAUAUUUGAGUGAAUGUCCUUUCUUUAAAAUACUUCCUCCUACCCCUCCUAAUAUGCAGAGCAACUAGCUUGACAAAGCAAAAUUUGCUCAAACAAUGGUGUGAGUCUGAGGUGGGACUUUCUGUUUAUUGCUAGUAGCACAGAAAUUACGCAUUUCAGCUUUCACAUCAAUAUAUAACACAGAUUAACAGCUGAUUAACAACAUUUUUUUUCCCCCCUGGAUUAACUAUGAACAUGUUCCACUAAUAUUACUCAACCAGAAAAUACAUACAUAUAUGGUGUUUUAUAAUUUGAAACCUAAGAAAAUUCUUUUUGUGAAAUAUUUUGGUUAAAAUGUUUUGCUUUCCUUUAAAACAAUCAUUAAUUACUCACCCUCAUGUCGUUCCAAACCUGUA
This is a long non-coding RNA of Megalobrama amblycephala (Wuchang bream), 2860 nucleotides long. RefSeq lists it as uncharacterized. The transcript is spliced from 6 exons. NCBI's taxonomy places the organism in Eukaryota, Metazoa, Chordata, Actinopteri, Cypriniformes, Xenocyprididae. The record is from RefSeq and is a predicted model, not a curated record.